This 191-nucleotide ribosomal RNA is filed under the name uncultured bacterium. RNAcentral's name for it is "partial 16S ribosomal RNA". It matches the Rfam family "Bacterial small subunit ribosomal RNA", at positions 328 to 538 of the family's 1533-position model. The record is from RNAcentral.
ACGCUCGACACCUACGGAGGCAGCAGUCGGGAAUAUUGCGCAAUGGAGGAAACUCUGACGCAGUGACGCCGCGUAUAGGAAGAAGGUUUUCGGAUUGUAAACUAUUGUCGUUAGGGAAGAUACAAGACAGUACCUAAGGAGGAAGCACCGGCUAACUAUGUCACANGCGCGAGUAUNGNGGCGUGNGAGAG